Molecule: long non-coding RNA, 7787 nt
Filed under: Triticum aestivum (bread wheat)
Lineage: Eukaryota; Viridiplantae; Streptophyta; Magnoliopsida; Poales; Poaceae
Description: long non-coding RNA (TAES_LNC010311)
Source: RNAcentral
AAAUAUGUGCAUGACUUUUGGCAGAGGUUUUCACCUUUAACAAAAAUCAUGAACUUUUCUAAUGGGCAUUUGGGAUUAUUGAAAAUAUUUUUAUUGAACCUAGUUGAAUUCAUUUGAUGCUAGGGUUGCAACAAUCCCCAUUUCAAGUUUCUGAGAAAAUUAAACAUGAUGAUAUGGUGACCAUGCAAGGACAAGCAAAGGCUAAACUGGGGCUGUGACAGAUCACCCCCACUAAACAAGAAUCUCGUCCCGAGAUUCAAGCGUAGGGUAAGAUGAAGGGGGAACGCAACUAACGCAAUCUUCACGAUCCAGGUUGCACUUCAAAUGAACGUUGAUACGAUCAGCAUCUUUGCCUCGAUGUCUUGCUCUGACAACUCCAACUAACAUGACAAUGAGAGGAAAGGGAAAACUCCAGAAGGAUCGAUCUUCUCGAAGAUCGAGCAACUCAGGAUCACUCAUCGAGUGAGACAUUGAAACAUCUCUCGAGCUGAGACACGAAACACAUCGAGACGGAUGGAAGAACAAGCGACGGGGUUUGAUUUGGUGGGCAACAAUUCCACGCUUAGAAAGAUGGUGGAUGUUGGCAAGGUGGCGAGGAAAUAAUUGCCAUGAUCCCGUAACGGGGCACCUCGGGGAAGGUGACUCGAAGAACUAUUCCCUUAAGUGGCAAAAAGAAUUACUUUUGAUACAAAGAUCAUUGAAAUUCUUUAUACCAGCCUAAGGCAAUCACAAUGAUCCUUUGAAAGAGCUCGAAGAAAUGGCAUACUCGGACUAGGAUGGACGAUGUGGACUACCUUGUUGAAGACAACGCAAUGGAUGAUUUUUUCUUAUCACCGGAUAUGGAGGGACCCAAAGUAGAAUGGCACAAUGACGGUGCAAGCUGGUAACAAAAUGCAAAUGCUGGGAACUUUCCAACCAUCAUACCUGCCUGAGAUUCAGAUCUGGUUGGUAACAGGGUAUUCCAGAUAGCAUGUCCGGAAAAGGAAAGUUUGCAACACAAACCAACGAGAUGGCGUUGCGAGAUUCUCGGGAGAUGAACUUGGUAGCAAGCUCCAAAACAUGAGCGGGUUCUGCUACAAGCAUGUGAACAUGUUGUCCGAGACAAGCGUGACCACGCGGUAGUCUUAUAAUAAAAUACUACCAAGUUCAGGUUGGGAACCAUCAUUGAGGAUAACGAAGUCAUUACGCUAGUCCAUGGAUUAGAUCCCAAGCAUAAACUUCUCUUCCUUGAACAAAUCAAUCAGUGGCUUUGUGUUCUAGGAACACAUAUAGAAUGGAGGCGGCCAACCUAUCAAACCAUAGAGUACUUCACACAUAUGCGUGACUAAUUUGGGCUGAUUCCAAGGGAAACAAAACAAACCUUUCUCAAAUCCACGGCGGCAACUUACAUCAGAUACACGUGAAUUAGAGGAAGUCACUUCUCUCAUCCAAACAUAUACCUCAGGGACGGGUCUCGAAGGCAUUGUUUACAAAGUUUCCAACACUAGCUUAAUGUCCAACAAAAUCAUGGAGAAGAUAAGUAUGUUGUCGAUGGGCUCAACAACAAUUUAUCCAGGUUUCCAUAUAAGUGGAAUUCCAUAAUUAUGUGAACAAGAUGAUAGCACUGGUCAGACCCAAGGAUAUAAUGGUGUAUGCUCGAGGAAACAACCACGAGUAAGACCACAUUACGAACAUCGUUGGUUCUGAUUUGAUUUGAUGAUAACCCAUACUCAAACCAAGAAUUGGAUAAGACAAUAGGUCCGGCAAUUGAUCACAGGGACCAAUCGAUGAAGAUAUCUUUCUUCAACUAACACACAACACAAGGAUAUCCCUUUGGAAUGAACUAAGUAAGGCAAAGCUUUAUCUUCCAACUCUCCAAGUUGUUGUUUAGCUUAGCCAACUAGCUCAGGGUGUCCAACACAGAAUUCUUGGAGAAGGGGUGGUUACAAGGGAACCAACUUGAUCAUGAGCUCAACAUAGCGGUCAGGAACAACCUGGUAAUACUUCCGAGAAGAUAUUUGGAAAAUCACGAACCACCGAUAUGUUACUAAGCUCGAGAACAACCUUGCUUUUCAGGGCAAGAUGAUAUGAUCAAAAGAGUGAGGGAUUGACAAAAUCCUAACUCAUCGAUCGAAGGGUGCACCAACAAAACUAGACUAGGUAGCACGAUCAAUCCUAGGAUGAUGAUUCAAUAACCAACAUGAUAAGGAUGAGAAUAUUGUCCAUUUACUAGCAAGCAACGAGUUGCUCGGAGUAUAGAUUUCACAAAUCACAAUUCACUUGUCGGCAUUCCGGUUACAACAACACGAGGACCGAGGAAUGAAUGAUGAUGGUGAGAAGUAUCACUGCAUCAAGAAUUCAUAAGAGUUGGUGCAAUUCCUAUGAUAUUCUCGACAUAACGAGGGUAAUACUCCAGGGUAGAACAGAACAAAAGCUGCUUUGGCAUUUGAUCUGCGGAAUACAACUGCUUUGACCAAACCCUAGAAAUGGAUAAGGUACUGGAGUUUGUUUCUCCUAGUCAUUCCGGAAUAGAAUGGCUUGACAGACCACAAGAAUAAUAGGCAUCGAUAGCGAAUGCACGCAUACUCUUGAGUAUCAAAUGAUAGACAGAGGUCAGAAUACAACUAAAGAGAGACGGUUCAAAGGAACAUAUAUCUUUCUGAGUUGUGGAUGCAUAGAUUAGUAUGUCAAACGAGUUCAACAUAAUUCUUCCGGAUAACCCAUGCAGAGAGGUAGGACUGGCAGUCACAAUUAUAGAAUGGAGCACUCACCACAAGCACUCUUGUUGUGAUCUUUUGGUUCAAAAGAACAUCUGCCAUAUUGGUUCAUGGUAUUUGGAAGAAGAAAAUACCACGUACCUCGAGGACUGUCGCAAGGUUACUAAUAUCUUAAGGGAACUAGCAAAUAUUAACAACAUGAAGUAGGGUGAAUCUCGGGUUCGAAACCCAGGAGUAGAAUACCUACUACUAAAUGGCAUCGCGGGAUGCUUUCGAGAAUGGUGGCCAGAAUCAUCACACUGGGAUCACAAACAUGGCUAGAUUACUAGGUGACUCCCUAAAACACCUAGGGUCACAAUAAUAGCUCCAACAAAUAUGUCGAGGCAAAGCAGUACUUCAACACACCGAUUAGCGUGCUUAAUCUGGCCAAAAGGGACAUCGAGAACGGGAGGAAGGGAUUUGCAAAAGCAUCAUACUAGUAAGAAACCUGGGAUGACUCGGACAGCAUAACGGCUGUAAAUGCUCAAAAUGAUUUGAGACAUCCUGCAAAAUGGUGGCAUAACCACUCAACAUCACAAUAUCAAGGUUCUGAGGCCAGCUAUGAACAUAUGGAAGUAGUAGGAACUGAACUGAGGCUUGAACUCAACAAUCCUAGGCAACUACGGUUUAGUAACACGUCAUCCUGAGAGAUAGAAGAGAAGCCUAGUUCUUAACCCCCGUAGAAAAGAAGAGGUUGACUCAGAUCAGAAGGGCAUAAGGUAAAGGAGUAAAAAGAGCCUUACGUUCCCUCCCACAAUCAAUUCCCUUAUAUAACUAAAGCAUUUCUAGACUCAACUUCGACCAGUUUGGCUUGGUAAUCCUACAGGCAGCCAGGCUCUGAUACCAAAGCUAUUAAGACCCCGAUCCUAAGCCACAUCGAUCUAGCAUGUAACACAUCAUAUCACUUUGCGGCCUCACGCACGGUAUUCCCACGGGUGCCACCUUACCUGGCUCGGGACCGUUUGCGCCUUUUGGCUCACGUAUAUGAUAGUGUCACUAGUAUCCAUAUGAUAGAGAACCCGGGACGACAUGGCUAGUUGUGAACCCAAAGCGGUGCUAACCCAUGAGGACAGGCAUACAUGAAUCACAUCGAGCAUGUCGGUCAUCAACGUGUGAAUCCGGGCUGUAGCACUGGGCUAACAGGACUCCGGUAACCCGGGCUGUAGCAGGCUAGGCAGGACUCCGGAAGUCACCGCGUGACAUUUCCCCGAAGGGACAGACACAGGAAUGAAGUGAAACACAUGUCGGCCAGUCAAGUGUUCCGAGCAGUAGUGCUGGGCUAGCAGGACUCCGGUGAACCGGGCUGUAGUGGACUACUAUCGCUCAGAAAGCACUAGAAUACAUUUCCCCAUAUGAUAGGCUACCAAGGAUAAACAACUAGAUUGUUGGAUCCCACUCAUACCAAGCAUUUCAAUCAUACACACAAUAUGCCCGAUAUGAGUACAUACAACAUGGCAUCACAACAAGACUCUACGACUCAAGUAUUAAUUCAUUAGGCUCCGAAGAGCCAGAUAUUACAAACAUGGGUCUCAUGACCCCACAUUCAGAGCAUACAAGCAACAAGCACAUGCGGAAGCUUAACUUGUCUGAGUACAAACAACUACAAAUGAAGAAGGCUCAGAAGCCUGACUGUCUACAAGACCCUCCCAAGGGUACAAGAUCGUAGCUGAGGUAACAAGCUAAACGUCGAAGUCCACGCGGAACUACAAGCGAGACUGACGUCUCUCUGCAAAACAUAAAAUAAGCAAACGUGAGUACAAAUGUACCCAGCAAGACUUGCAUCAGAACUAGCUACAUAUGCAUCGGUAUCAACAAAGGAGGUGGUGGAGUUUAACUGUAGCAAGCCAGCUUUGACUCGGUAGCUAUCCUGGACUACGACUGCAAAAAACUCUUUUGAGGUGGCGCACACGAGUCCACAUAUUCACCAUACCAAUACACCACUAUGGAUCCGCUCUCGUCUCCCUACGAGAAGGCCAUCCAUAGCACUCAAGCUUAUCUUGCGCAUUUUAGAGUAUCCACUUUCACUUGUCUAUGAACUAUGCAAGGGGUCCAAGUUUCCAUAUUCGAGGAAUCCGGCUAUUCGAAUAGAUAAUGAUAACCCUGCAGGGGUGUACUUCUUCACACACGCUCUCACCACAUAUCACCAUGUACGCGUCAUGUACCUCGGCAACCUUCAAGCGGAAGCCGGGCGAGGGUGUCGGCCACGACCUGACUAACCACACAAGUCUCUCGUCCAGGUUUAUCACCUAUUCGGGUUCCAUCCGCAAGGAGAUCCGGCCGGGGUGUCGCUCACGGCCCCAAACAAUGUGUGCAGGGUUCCCAAGCCCACCUCGACGGAUGGAUCUACGCUUGGUACACCGUGCCAUGAUGCCUAGUCUGUCCCAAGCCCACCUGUACCGGGUGCCACUUGGUAGACUACUAACACAACCUACAAACACCAGAAACUAGUUGCAACUCCUGGACAGAGAUCGAGUUGGUUAAUAAGCCGAGAGGGGUCGAGUUGCCGGAACCCAAUGUGUGGUAGUAACUGUUCAUGGAUCACAAACACAGAACUCAGUUCCUGAGGACGGUUUCAAUGAGACAACCCAUCAUGUACUCCUACAUGGCCUCUCACCGCUACCUUUACGAAAUCGUGUUCACACACUUAGCUCUCAAUAGUAGGACAUGUUCACCACAUUCCAAUUCAUUCCCGAUGAAUCAAACCCGACUCAACUCUAAGCAGUAGCAGGCAUGACAACAAGCAUGAAUGAGUAGGCACAUCAGGGCUCAAACAACUCCUACUCAUGCUAGUGGGUUUCAUCUAUUUACUGUGGCAAUGACAGGUCAUGCAGAGGAAAGGGGUUCAACUACCGCAGCAUGUAAUAGUUGAAUAGCUAUUGUCCUAAUGCAGUAAAAGAGAGUAGGAGCGAGAGAGUGGGAUUGUAUCGGAAUGAACAAGGGGGUUUUGCUUGCCUGGCACUUCUGAAGAUAAUACAGUUCUUCAUCGGUGUCAUCAAUCACGUCGUCGGAAACAUCGUCUAUUGAGAGGGAACAACCACCGGCAAACACAUAAAGAACACAAUCAACACAUGGCGAUAUGCAGCAAUAUGAUGCAUGCUAUGACAUGGCAAUAUGAAUGUGUUUUGGGCUAAUGCAAACUAGAACAGAUUGAGAUGAGUCCAUUUGAACCAAAGAUUCAAAUGCAAACCCAUUUUAUGAAGUCAUAUUAGUGCAUUAACUUGUUUCACCUAAACAGCAAGGUUAUUGUGUUCUAACAUGCAUGAAACCAGUACAGAUGGGUAGAUUGGAUUUUUCUGAUAAUUUUUCAUAAAUAAAUUAUUUCAUUUGGAGUUACAGUUUAAUUUCUAUGAAUUUUAGAAGUUAGCACUAUUUUCUGGAAUUUCCUGAAAAGAAUAAAUCCAGAAAAGGGCAUUACUGCGUCAGCAUGACGUCAGGGUGACGUAAGCAAGUCAACAGGGCUGGUCCGGGUCAAACCUGACCAGUGGGGUCCACUGGUCAGUGUCUAACUAAACUAACCUAGUUCAAUUAGCACUAACCUAGGUUAAACUAAUUAAAUUUAAACCUAAACUAGAUUAAUUAGCCGGGCGGGGCCCGCAUGUCAUAGACCAGUGGGUCAAACAGGGCCCACCCAGGUUAACUCGGUUAGCGGGGGUUCAAACCCCUGGCCAGCAGGGUCAAACCUGCCGGCGACUUUACGCCAGUGAGGCCGGUCGCGGCGGCGAGCCUCGGGUUUCCUGUUCCGACGACCAAAAGGGACGACGGAGGCAUCAACAUGAAGCUGGGAGUGCCCCGCAUCUUUCUAUGCGGUUGGGACGGGUUGAGACGGCCCGAGCUCGCCGGGGCGAGGCUCGCGGUGGUGGCCGGAGUUCGGGCGAGGUCGGGGUUGGCGCUAGGGGGCACAACAGGUCGAACGGGUGGGCGCGCCCGGCUCCUAGGAGAGUGCUGAGCACGGGGCAAAGCUCGGGCGUGGGUGGCGGCAGCUGUGGCCGUGGCGGCGAUGAGGCACGGCGGCGACGAGCUUCUGCCGCGGUGGUUAGUUAGGCUAGAGGAGGAAAUAGACGGCGGGAAGAGAGGGGUUUGGUAGAGGUGCUCACGGCGAGGUCGAAGCGGAGCUCAGCUGGCUCAGGGACGACCAGAAGGCGACGACUCUGUCGAUGGAGUGCGGCGGCCGUGCUCGGGGAAGACGACUCGUAGCGGCGAUGUGGGGCUCCCGCGGUGGCGUGGCUCGGGGUGGAAGAAGGAGGGGGUCAAGACGGAGCUCUCGAGCACGUUGGAUGGGCGAGGGAGGGCCGGUGGCCGUGGCAACAGCAAGCGGCGGCGACGGCGCAUUUAGGUGGCUGUGCGCGAGAGAAACAGAGGAGGGGAGAAGCACGAGAGAGAGUGAGGGAAUGGUCGGGGCUACGUGGCGUCGCGAGGGAGGUCCAGGGCGACGAGGGGAAGCGGCAAGCAGGAGGUGGCCGGGGCGCGUGUGCGCGCACGGCGGCCACACGCCCAUCGUCCUUCUGUCGCGAGGAAGACGACAGGGGGGAGAGGCCAGUGGGCUGGGCUGGCCAGCUGGGCCAGCCAGGUGGGCUGCAGGUGAGCCAGGUAAGGCCCAGGUGAGCCUCUGUUCUUUUCCUAAUUUUAUUUCUCUUUUCUAUUUUCUGUAAUUGCGUUUGGCUUUAUUAAAAAUACUUAGGCACACUCAAAAAUCACCAAACUGCUCAUGGCCACUGUUUGGAAAAUAUCCAACAUGGAACAUUUCAGUUUAGGAUUAUUUGAGCAUUUAAAAUAUUUUAUAGCAUUUAAAUGCACAAAUGCAAUUACAAUAUGAAUUAAUUCAAAAAUCCAGAAUGGCCUAGAAAUAUGUGCAUGACUUUUGACAGAGGUUUUCACCUUUAACAAAAAUCAUGAACUUUUCUAAUGGGCAUUUGGGAUUAUUGAAAAUAUUUUUAUUGAACCUAGUUGAAUUCAUUUGAUGCUAGGGUUGCAACAAUCCCCAUUUCAAGUUUCUGAGAAAAUUAAACAUGAUGAUAUGGUGACCAUGCAAGGACAAGCAAAGGCUAAACUGGG